RNAcentral lists this long non-coding RNA (555 nucleotides) under Pan troglodytes (chimpanzee). Its description in RNAcentral is "lincRNA". Lineage: Eukaryota; Metazoa; Chordata; Mammalia; Primates; Hominidae. The record is from RNAcentral.
CAGAAACAAUUGAUCUUGAUGGAACAAUCUUGUUUUUAUAUAAAAUUUCAAGCUGGUGAUGACAUGUAUAAAAGAAAAAGUGCUGCAAGCAGUAAAUGCUGUUCAGUUUGCAUUCCAUUACAUCAACAUAUCUAAAUGAUCCUCUUUAGCCCAAACUAUCAGAAUGAAUUUUCCACAUCAGCCACAAGAAUGACCUUCUGGCAUACAAGACACUUCUUACCAUGUAAUGCAAGGAAAAAAAAAAGUUCAGGUACUUCAAUAGGAUGUUGGAAAAGAAGACUUCCACUCUAAUAGGAUGAAAAAAUGAUCAUCUAUUUACAUCAUUCUGAUUUAAUUGCUUCACAAUCCACUAUAAAGAUUUGCUCUGACCCUAAUAUUUAAAAUUUUCUACUUUUUUUCCCACUUUUCUCUCACAUAAAUUAGGUGUUUCAUUCUUUUUCCUACUUAUUAUUUUAUUUACACCAUUCUGUGUUGAGCACAGAAAGGUGGAAGUAUAUAGCCCUGUUCUCUGUUUUUAAUGCUCUGUAUAUUUUUAUUUCCUUUUCUGUGGAAUCA